This 510-nucleotide ribosomal RNA is filed under the name Triticum aestivum (bread wheat). RNAcentral's name for it is "partial small subunit ribosomal RNA". The record is from RNAcentral. Lineage: Eukaryota; Viridiplantae; Streptophyta; Magnoliopsida; Poales; Poaceae.
AUGAAAAUAUUAAGCUGGAAUUGCCGAGGUUUGGGGACGCCCUCGGCAAUUCGGUCGCUGUCGGAAUUACUACGACAGCAUAGUCCUGAUGUUCUUUUCCUCUCGGAGACUCACUUGAAUGAUUCGAGCGGGGAAAGAUUGCGUGUGAAGCUUGGCUUUGAUGAUAGUAUGUUUGUUUCAUCGAGCGAUGGACGGAGUGGAGGUUUGAUCAUGAUGUGCAAGAACAAUGUUAAUAUGCAACUGAAUUAUUAUCACGACAACUUUAUUGAUGUUGUGGUCAAAGGAGCGGAUCCUAGUACAGACUGGAGGUUAACGGGUAUGUAUGGUGAGCCGGUUUGGAGACAUAAGCAUCGUGCAUGGAAACGUUUCGGUGAUCUACAUGCCAAGGGUAAUGCGGCAGCGCAUGGGCUUGCUCGGGCUAGUUACAGAGGAAUUUUUUUUGAAGAGUGGCGAGAUAAACCUCCUGAUUUCUUACUCCCCUUCGUUGUAACUGAUAUGAUUAUUGUUUAA